RNAcentral lists this ribosomal RNA (667 nucleotides) under uncultured Actinomycetes bacterium. RNAcentral's name for it is "bacterial SSU rRNA". It matches the Rfam family "Bacterial small subunit ribosomal RNA", at positions 8 to 681 of the family's 1533-position model. The record is from RNAcentral. Lineage: Bacteria; Bacillati; Actinomycetota; Actinomycetes.
AGAGUUUGAUCCUGGCUCAGGACGAACGCUGGCGGCGCGCCUAAUCCAUGCAAGUCGAGCGACGCAUGCCUUAGCCCGUAAGGGCGGGUGUGACGGAGCGGCGAACGGGUGCGUAACACGCGACCAAUCUGCCCCGAAGACCGGGAUAGCCCGGGGAAACCCGGAUUAAUACCGGAUGAUCUCACCAUCACGCAUGUGGAGGUGAGCAAAGGUUCAGGCGCUUCGGGAUGAGGUCGCGGCCCAUCAGCUUGUUGGUGAGGUAACGGCUCACCAAGGCAAUGACGGGUAGCUGGUCUGAGAGGACGAUCAGCCACACUGGAACUGAGAUACGGUCCAGACUCCUACGGGAGGCAGCAGGAGGGAAUCUUGCGCAAUGGGCGAAAGCCUGACGCAGCGACGCCGCGUGGGGGAUGAAUGCCUUAGGGUUGUAAACCCCUUUCACGAGGGAAGAAACUGACGGUACCUCGAGAAGAAGCCCCGGCCAACUACGUGCCAGCAGCCGCGGUAAUACGUAGGGGGCGAGCGUUGUCCGGAUUUAUUGGGCGUAAAGGGCUCGUAGGCGGCUUGGCAAGUCGGCCGUGAAAACCCAGGGCUCAACUCUGGGACGCCGGUCGAUGCUGCCAUGGCUAGGGUCCGGUAGAGGGGAAUGGAAUUCCCGGUGUAGCGG